This is a long non-coding RNA of Polypterus senegalus (gray bichir), 958 nucleotides long. RefSeq lists it as uncharacterized. The transcript is spliced from 4 exons. NCBI's taxonomy places the organism in Eukaryota, Metazoa, Chordata, Cladistia, Polypteriformes, Polypteridae. The record is from RefSeq and is a predicted model, not a curated record.
AUUUUUCCAAACAACGAACGGCACAAUUUCUUUGCAUUAUUUUGUCAAAAGCAUCGUUAAAUGAAUGGUCAUACAUUAACAGAUGUUUAAUUCUCAACAAAACUCAAUGCUGUGCUGCUAUAGGGCAACAGGAUCAGCCAACGUUAUCCACAAUUAAACAGCAAUGGCCAGUUAGCACUCCUAACAUCACUGGACACUUCUACUGUGGGCUUGCUUAUGAUGUUACAGAGCUCAAGAGCAAAUGGAGAAUCUACUAGAACAACAGGAUCUACAGACCACAGACUUAACAGCGCACAGGAGAGACUCUGUUCUUCUGACUCUUCCCUUCUACCUAAGAGAGCUGCCCUCAAUUUCAAAAACAUCCUGCUAAUUUGAUUUCCUCAUUUUGUGGUGCAUCAGCUUGGCAUUUUAUGGGGAGGGGGGUUAACUUGCAUUAUCACGCAGAACUUGAUAUCUUCUUACAGUGUAUGUGAUACUCCAGACAAUGAAGUGUCUCAUUGUAUUUCAUAUCUUUUGUAGAAUUCUGCAAGGAACAUUACGAUGGGAAUUUUAGAGUUGGUCAGGAAUGGCGUCCCUCCAAGACUGCUGUCCACUGCAGUAAAUGCUGUAAUUGUCCUUGAAGAGGAGGUGGUUAUGGAGAAGUUGGGAAACUUUACAAAUGCCUUUACAAUCCUGUUUGGCCCACUUUAUGCUUUUAACACGAACUAUCGCAAGGACCUUCAAUACACAUCUGCAGAAAGUGUUCCGGUACCUUGAAAUUACUACACUGCUAGAGUGCAAUCUCUAAAAAACGGACUAUUUCCAAAUGUAAUAUGAUUUUCUUUGUGACACUUCCAAUUAGUUUAGUCAGUUUGGGGACCUGCUUUUGAACAGAAAAAAAAAACGUCUUUGAUUACUGUUUAAAAAAGAAUUAGUUAAAUGCAAUUGACUGUUAAAUAGUCUAAAUAAGUCUCUCGAU